UUUUCGCGCGCAGUCCCUCCGAUUUUGUAACGUGUUGCAAUUUGGCCUUUUUCGUUCUUUUCUUUUAUUUUAAUUUAGCUGCACAAUUUUAUUUUUGUUUCAUUUUGGUCCCGCUCAAAGUGAUGCGUUUUGAAGGGCGGGAUAUUUCCUUUUGGGUCCCCCUCCUUUCGCGCGCGUCACAAAUUAGUCCUUUGCUUUUUUUUUUUGAGUUCUCCCCUAGGAUUUUGUUUUAUUUUCAAUUU
This 242-nucleotide long non-coding RNA is filed under the name Gossypium raimondii (Peruvian cotton). RNAcentral's name for it is "long non-coding RNA (GRAI_LNC007218)". The record is from RNAcentral. Lineage: Eukaryota; Viridiplantae; Streptophyta; Magnoliopsida; Malvales; Malvaceae.